This 80-nucleotide small nucleolar RNA is filed under the name Lates calcarifer (barramundi perch). Its description in RNAcentral is "Small nucleolar RNA SNORD53/SNORD92 (ENSLCAG00010027644.1)". Lineage: Eukaryota; Metazoa; Chordata; Actinopteri; Centropomidae. The record is from RNAcentral.
GGGGGAUGAUGAGAGUCUGAAAGGUUUCGCUCACUGGACUGAGCUGCUGUGAUGUCACUUCCUCCAGGCUGUCUGACCAA